RNAcentral lists this ribosomal RNA (253 nucleotides) under uncultured bacterium. RNAcentral describes it as "partial 16S ribosomal RNA". It matches the Rfam family "Bacterial small subunit ribosomal RNA", at positions 524 to 776 of the family's 1533-position model. The record is from RNAcentral.
UACGGAGGGGGCUAGCGUUGUUCGGAAUUACUGGGCGUAAAGCGCACGUAGGCGGAUUGGAAAGUUGGGGGUGAAAUCCCGGGGCUCAACCCCGGAACUGGCUUCAAAACUCCCAGUCUGGAGGUCGAGAGAGGUGAGUGGAAUUCCGAGUGUAGAGGUGAAAUUCGUAGAUAUUCGGAGGAACACCAGUGGCGAAGGCGGCUCACUGGCUCGAUACUGACGCUGAGGUGCGAAAGCGUGGGGAGCAAACAGG